RNAcentral lists this ribosomal RNA (2812 nucleotides) under Thermotoga sp. 50_64. RNAcentral describes it as "bacterial LSU rRNA". It matches the Rfam family "Bacterial large subunit ribosomal RNA", at positions 858 to 2925 of the family's 2925-position model. RNAcentral also lists the same sequence under 1 other name. The record is from RNAcentral. Lineage: Bacteria; Thermotogati; Thermotogota; Thermotogae; Thermotogales; Thermotogaceae.
CCCGAAACGCAUUGAGGUGCGGCCUCGGGUGGUCUGUGCAGGGGGUAGAGCACUGAUAGGGCUAGGGGGGUAACCUCCGAACCCUGUCAAACUCCGAAUCCCUGCACAUAAAGCCCGGGAGAAAGACUGUGGGGGAUAAGCUCCAUGGUCGAAAGGGGAACAGCCCAGACCGCCGGCUAAGGGCCCGGAGAGGUGGCUAAGUGGUAAAGGAUGUGGCGCACCUAAGACAACUGGGAGGUUGGCUUAGAAGCAGCCAUCCUUUAAAGAGUGCGUAACAGCUCACCAGUCGAGGUGCGCUGCGCCGAAGAUGUAACGGGGCUCAAGCCACCCCCCGAAGCCGCGGGUCUGCACCGAUGAGGUGCAGGCGGUAGGGGAGCUUUCCGCUGUAGGGUGAAGGCAGACCCGCGAGGGCUGCUGGACGAGGCGGAAGUGAGAAUGCGGACAUGAGUAUGCGAGAGGAGAGUGAGAAUCUCUCCCCCCGUAAGCCCAAGGGUACCUGGGGAAGGGUCGUCCGCCCAGGGUUAGCCGGUACCCUAAGGUAAACCCGAAAGGGGUAGCCGAAGGGAAGCUGGUUAAUAUUCCAGCGCCACCUGCAAUCGAGGUGCAAGGGGUGACGCAGGAGGGUAGGCGCCGAGGGUAAGUGGCACUCCCUUCCAAGCGGUUAGGGCGUUGAUGGGUGUAGGUAAAUCCGCACCCGGAGCCUGAGCCGUGAUGGGGAGGACCCGUGAGGGUCCAACGGUGCUGACCCCACACUGCCGAGAAAAACCUCGUGCACCGUUUGAGAUUGCAGGUGACCGUUCCGCAAACCGACACAGGUGGGCGAGCUGAGAAGGCUCAGGGGAGCGGGAUAACCCUCGCCAAGGAACUCGGCAAGUUGACCCCGUAACUUCGGGAGAUGGGGUGCCGCGGUAGGGUGAACCCAGGGGAAGGGGCAACCCGGAAACUGGGGGAGCCCGAGGCGGUCGCAGAGACCAGGCCCUGGCGACUGUUUACCAAAAACACAGGCCUCUGCAAACUCGUAAAGAGGAUGUAUAGGGGCUGACGCCUGCCCAGUGCCGGAAGGUUAAGGGGAGGGGUGAGGCCGUAAGGCGUAGCUCCGACCCGAAGCCCCGGUAAACGGCGGCCGUAACUAUAACGGUCCUAAGGUAGCUGUGCUGCCUGCCUGCAGGGUAACCUGCAGGGCAAUACCCGGCUGUAUGCGGGAAAACCCUUAGAGCUCUUCCUACUUGGGGAGGUUUUCUCCAAGUAAAAAUGGAAGAGAUUGGGCAAUCCGCAGGAAACCCCGAAAGGGGGAUCCUCAGAGACUGUACGCCGGGCAUCCAGCUUCCCAGCGAGGUGCGGUGUGAUGGAGCUUCAUCCAAAGUGGGUCGUUGGGUUCGUGGAUGGAGAAGGAUGUUUCUAUGUGGGUGUGAACAAGAACGAGGCGAUGAGCUUGGGUUAUCAGGUGUUGCCUGAGUUCAGAGUCGUUCAACACCGGCGAGACAUCCAAGUCCUUUACGCGCUCAAGCGCUUCUUCGGAUGCGGUACGGUCAGAAGAAACCACGAAGACAGAUACGAGCUCAGGAUAAGGAAAUUUGAGUGUCUGAAAAAGGUCGUUGAAUUCUUUCAAAAUCAUCCACUCAAGACGAAGAAGAACGUCGAUUUCAAGAAAUUCAGCAAGAUCAUCAAGAUGAUGGAUGAAGGAAAGCACCUCACGAGGGAAGGGCUGAUCGAGAUCGUGCAGAUAGCUCUCGAAAUGAACACGGGAAAACAUGAGCAGCUGAAGCAGAUCUUGUGCGAAUUGACUGGGAAGGCUGGAUGAAGAUACAGUCCACCCUUGGUUCGAAAGACCAAGAUGAUGGUGAGCGAAAUACCUUGUCGGGUAAGUUCCGACCUGCAUGAAUGGCGUAACGACUGGGGCGCUGUCUCGGCGAGGGACCCGGUGAAAUUUCAGUGAGGGUGAAGAUGCCCUCAACCUGCGGCUAGACGGAAAGACCCCGUGGAGCUUCACUGCAGCCUGGUAUUGGAUUCUGGCACACCGUGUACAGGAUAGGUGGGAGGCUGUGAACCCGGCUCGCCAGGGUCGGGGGAGCCACCGGUGGGAUACCACCCUCGGUGUGUCGGAAUUCUAACCUGAACCUGUGAAGAGCAGGUUGGGGACAGUGCCAGGUGGGCAGUUUGACUGGGGCGGUCGCCUCCUAAAAAGUAACGGAGGCGCGCGAAGGUCGGCUCAGGUGGGUUGGAAAUCCACCGUUGAGUGCAAGGGCAUAAGCCGGCCUGACUGUGAGGCCGACGGGCCGAGCAGAGGGGAAACCCGGCCCUAGUGACCCGACGACUCCGGGUGGAAGGGUCGUCGACAACGGACAAAAGUUACCCCGGGGAUAACAGGCUAGUCUCGCCCGAGAGUUCACAUCGACGGCGAGGAUCGGCACCUCGAUGUCGGCUCAUCCCAUCCUGGGGCUGAAGCAGGUCCCAAGGGUUAGGCUGUCCGCCUAUUAAAGGGGUACGUGAGCUGGGUUCAGACCGUCGCAAGACAGGUCGGUCCCUAUCGGCCGCAGGCGCAGGAGGUUUGAGGGGGGUCACCCCUUGUACGAGAGGACCGGGGUGAGCGGGCCUCUGGUGUACCGGCUGUCCUGCCAAGGGCAUUCGCCGGGUAGCUAUGCCCGUAAGCGAUAACCGCUGAAGGCAUCUAAGCGGGAAGCGCGCCCUAAGAUUAGACCUCCCAUCCCGUUAAGGGAGUAAGGCCGGUCCGAGAACAGGACCUUGAUAGGCCGGUGGUGUAAGCGCCGCAAGGCGUUGAGCCAACCGGUACUAAUCGGCCGAGGCCUUGACC